CACGCCCUAAACGAUGUCAACUGGUUGUUGGGAAGGUUCCUUCUCAGUAACGUAGCUAACGCGUGAAGUUGACCGCCUGGGGAGUACGGCCGCAAGGUCGAAACUCAAAGGAAUUGACGGGGACCCGCACAAGCGGUGGAUGAUGUGGUUUAAUUCGACGCAACGCGAAAAACCUUACCUACCCUUGACAUGUCUGGAAUUUUGCAGAGAUGUGAAAGUGCUCGAAAGAGAACCAGAACACAGGUGCUGCAUGGCCGUCGUCAGCUCGUGUCGUGAGAUGUUGGGUUAAGUCCCGCAACGAGCGCAACCCUUGUCAUUAGUUGCUACGAAAGGGCACUCUAAUGAGACUGCCGGUGACAAACCG
RNAcentral lists this ribosomal RNA (364 nucleotides) under uncultured bacterium. Its description in RNAcentral is "bacterial SSU rRNA". It matches the Rfam family "Bacterial small subunit ribosomal RNA", at positions 796 to 1165 of the family's 1533-position model. The record is from RNAcentral.